Molecule: ribosomal RNA, 253 nt
Filed under: uncultured bacterium
Lineage: Bacteria
Description: partial 16S ribosomal RNA
Rfam family: Bacterial small subunit ribosomal RNA
Source: RNAcentral
UACGGAGGAUCCAAGCGUUGUCCGGAUUUAUUGGGUUUAAAGGGUGCGUAGGUGGAUAAUUAAGUCAGGGGUGAAAGCCUGCAGCUCAACUGUAGAACUGCCCUUGAAACUGAUUAUCUUGAGUGCGGUUGAGGUAGGCGGAAUGUGUCAUGUAGCGGUGAAAUGCUUAGAUAUGAUACAGAACACCGAUUGCGAAGGCAGCUUACUAAACCGUAACUGACACUGAGGCACGAAAGCAUGGGGAGCAAACAGG